GUAAGCUACUAAGAGCGAAUGGUGGAUGCCUUGACUGGUAAAGGCGAUGAAGGACGUACUAGACUGCGAUAAGCUACGGGGAGCUGUCAAGAAGCUUUGAUCCGUAGAUUUCCGAAUGGGGCAACCCAAUGUAUAGAGAUAUACAUUACCUAUAUAGGAGCGAACGAGGGGAAUUGAAACAUCUUAGUACCCUCAGGAAAAGAAAUCAAUAGAGAUUGCGUCAGUAGCGGCGAGCGAAAGCGCAAGAGGGCAAACCCAGUGCUUGCACUGGGGGUUGUAGGACUGCAAUGUGCAAGAGGUGAGUUUAGCAGAACAUUCUGGAAAGUAUAGCCAUAGAGGGUGAUAGUCCCGUAUGCGAAAAACAAACCUUAGCUAGCAGUAUCCUGAGUAGGGCGGGACACGAGAAAUCCUGUCUGAAGCUGGGUCGACCACGAUCCAACCCUAAAUACUAAUACCAGAUCGAUAGUGCACAAGUACCGUGAGGGAAAGGUGAAAAGAACUGAGGUGAUCAGAGUGAAAUAGAACCUGAAACCAUUUGCUUACAAUCAUUCAGAGCACUAUGUAGCAAUACAGUGUGAUGGACUGCCUUUUGCAUAAUGAGCCUGCGAGUUGUGGUGUCUGGCAAGGUUAAGCAAACGCGAAGCCGUAGCGAAAGCGAGUCUGAAUAGGGCGUUUAGUCAGAUGCUGCAGACCCGAAACGAAGUGAUCUAUCCAUGAGCAAGUUGAAGCUAGUGUAAGAACUAGUGGAGGACUGAACCCAUAGGCGUUGAAAAGCCCCGGGAUGACUUGUGGAUAGGGGUGAAAGGCCAAUCAAACUUCGUGAUAGCUGGUUCUCUCCGAAAUAUAUUUAGGUAUAGCGUUGUGUCGUAAUAUAAGGGGGUAGAGCACUGAAUGGGCUAGGGCAUACACCAAUGUACCAAACCCUAUCAAACUCCGAAUACCUUAUAUGUAAUCACAGCAGUCAGGCGGCGAGUGAUAAAAUCCGUCGUCAAGAGGGAAACAACCCAGACUACCAGCUAAGGUCCCUAAAUCUUACUUAAGUGGAAAACGAUGUGAAGUUACUUAAACAACCAGGAGGUUGGCUUAGAAGCAGCCAUCCUUUAAAGAAAGCGUAAUAGCUCACUGGUCUAGUGAUUUUGCGCGGAAAAUAUAACGGGGCUAAAGUAAGUACCGAAGCUGUAGACUUGACUUUGUCAAGUGGUAGGAGAGCGUUCUAUUUGCGUCGAAGGUAUACCGGUAAGGAGUGCUGGAGCGAAUAGAAGUGAGCAUGCAGGCAUGAGUAGCGAUAAUUAAUGUGAGAAUCAUUAACGCCGUAAACCCAAGGUUUCCUACGCGAUGCUCGUCAUCGUAGGGUUAGUCGGGUCCUAAGUCGAGUCCGAAAGGGGUAGACGAUGGCAAAUUGGUUAAUAUUCCAAUACCAACAUUAGUGUGCGAUGGAAGGACGCUUAGGGCUAAGGGGGCUAGCGGAUGGAAGUGCUAGUCUAAGGUCGUAGGUGCUUAUACAGGCAAAUCCGUAUAAGAAUACACCGAGAACUGAAAGGCUUUUUGAAGUCUUCGGAUGGAUAGAAGAACCCCUGAUGCCGUCGAGCCAAGAAAAGUUUCUAAGUUUAGCUAAUGUUGCCCGUACCGUAAACCGACACAGGUGGGUGGGAUGAGUAUUCUAAGGCGCGUGGAAGAACUCUCUUUAAGGAACUCUGCAAAAUAGCACCGUAUCUUCGGUAUAAGGUGUGGUUCGCUUCGUAUUAGGAUUUACUCCGAAAGCGAAGAAACUUACAACAAAGAGUCCCUCCCGACUGUUUACCAAAAACACAGCACUCUGCUAACUCGUAAGAGGAUGUAUAGGGUGUGACGCCUGCCCGGUGCUCGAAGGUUAAUUGAUGGGGUUAGCAUUAGCGAAGCUCUUGAUCGAAGCCCGAGUAAACGGCGGCCGUAACUAUAACGGUCCUAAGGUAGCGAAAUUCCUUGUCGGUUAAAUACCGACCUGCAUGAAUGGCGUAACGAGAUGGGAGCUGUCUCAAAGAGGGAUCCAGUGAAAUUGUAGUGGAGGUGAAAAUUCCUCCUACCCGCGGCAAGACGGAAAGACCCCGUGGACCUUUACUACAGCUUGACACUGCUAUUUGGAUAAGAAUGUGCAGGAUAGGUGGGAGGCUUUGAGUAUAUGACGCCAGUUGUAUAUGAGCCAUUGUUGAGAUACCACUCUUUCUUAUUUGGGUAGCUAACCAGCUUGAGUUAUCCUCAAGUGGGACAAUGUCUGGUGGGUAGUUUGACUGGGGCGGUCGCCUCCCAAAUAAUAACGGAGGCUUACAAAGGUUGGCUCAGAACGGUUGGAAAUCGUUCGUAGAGUAUAAAGGUAUAAGCCAGCUUAACUGCAAGACAUACAAGUCAAGCAGAGACGAAAGUCGGUCUUAGUGAUCCGGUGGUUCUGUGUGGAAGGGCCAUCGCUCAAAGGAUAAAAGGUACCCCGGGGAUAACAGGCUGAUCUCCCCCAAGAGCUCACAUCGACGGGGAGGUUUGGCACCUCGAUGUCGGCUCAUCGCAUCCUGGGGCUGGAGCAGGUCCCAAGGGUAUGGCUGUUCGCCAUUUAAAGCGGUACGCGAGCUGGGUUCAGAACGUCGUGAGACAGUUCGGUCCCUAUCUGCCGUGGGCGUAAGAAGAUUGAAGAGAUUUGACCCUAGUACGAGAGGACCGGGUUGAACAAACCACUGGUGUAGCUGUUGUUCUGCCAAGAGCAUCGCAGCGUAGCUAAGUUUGGAAAGGAUAAACGCUGAAAGCAUCUAAGCGUGAAGCCAACUCUAAGAUGAAUCUUCUCUAAGCUCUCUAGAAGACUACUAGUUUGAUAGGCUGGGUGUGUAAUGGAUGAAAGUCCUUUAGCUGACCAGUACUAAUAGAGCGUUUGGCUUAUCUUUA
RNAcentral lists this ribosomal RNA (2907 nucleotides) under Campylobacter coli. Its description in RNAcentral is "bacterial LSU rRNA". It matches the Rfam family "Bacterial large subunit ribosomal RNA". The record is from RNAcentral. Lineage: Bacteria; Pseudomonadati; Campylobacterota; Epsilonproteobacteria; Campylobacterales; Campylobacteraceae.